RNAcentral lists this long non-coding RNA (2058 nucleotides) under Canis lupus familiaris (dog). RNAcentral describes it as "lncRNA (ENSCAFG00030014600.1)". The record is from RNAcentral. Lineage: Eukaryota; Metazoa; Chordata; Mammalia; Carnivora; Canidae.
AUGACGGAACUUUUGGUGCCCUGCCAGGGUGUGCUGAGCGCGAUCCCCGGGCGCCCCCAGGCCUCCUGGGUCACGUGCCUUCCACCGAGCUCGGGCUGGGCCGCGGCUGCAGGGGCGCCCUCUGCUCCCCAGGGGUGGGGUCUCCGAGCUGGGCCGCCUGUGAGGUCAUCGUGGGGCGCGGGGGGCCCUUUCUUGCACCUUCUCGCUCGGACUUCUGGGGUGUGUGGCAGGCAGACCCGUGGGUCCUUGUCACGGCCCCGAGGCCCCGAGGUGCACGUGGUGACAGACCGUCCUCACUCGACUGCUCAACUCCCGGGACCUGGCUCCUGGGCUCGGAGCUUCCCUCCAAACCGUCCGGUUUCAGCGAGCGUCCUGCUGGCCCGCGAGGCAGGAGCCCGGGGCCUGGCAGCUGACCGGCCACCCCGAUGCCUCCUGCGGGGAUCCCAGGGGCCCCUGCUCCUGGCUCUCGCUCCCGCCGUGUCUGAGAGCAGCGCAGGGCGGAGGCCGCGGCAGUGCAGGCUCCUCCGUGUCAGGCGGCUGUGGGGCAGGUGUGGGCCCCGCGCUGAGCGCAGCGUGGACGUGGGCGCGGCCCUCGGGGAGGACCUUUCUCCAGCAGUGAGACCCGAGCCAGCCCCUGACUGAACACAGGAGGGAGCCGGGAAGAUGGUGGCAGCGCACCCAGCGCAGGACCUCGCCCAAGACAGGCCCGACCCCUGCAACGAGACCCAGGCCCCAGCAGCGGAGACCCCGGCCGCUGCAGUGGAGACCCCGGCCCCUGCGGAGACCCAGCACAUCUGAGGCCCAGGAGACAGACGGUCUCACGCUUGUCCUGGUUCGCCUCCCACUGGGGACCACUCUGCCCUCGGCCAGCACAUGUGCUCAGGGUGGCCCCGGGCACCUCCCGCCUCCGGCCCACCAUGAGCCUCACCUCGUCCGUCCUUGGUCCCUGGUGCCGAGGAGCAAGGGCAGCCGAGCAGCAGCCGAGCAGGGCCUGGGUGUGCCCCCCCCCCCCGUCUUUCCCUUGUUUCUUGCCCACGGCCUACGGAUGAGUUUCUAGGGUUUACGGAGGGAUGAGGACACACCCUGAGCUGUACUCGCUGGAACCGCGGGGAUCCGCGGGGGGAGCAGCAGGGCAGUGGGCAGGGCCACCCCGUGUGCCCGCGCGGGGGCAGUGAGGACACACCUCAGGGCCCAGCCCUCAGAUGAGGGCUCCCUGGGAAGGAAGGCAGUAAAGGCCGGAGAAGUUGUACUUUGCUGUUUCACGUUGAUCGCGGGCACAGGUUGCAGAAGUGGAGACGUUAACCUGGAUGAAACAGAAACCCUUGCAGGUGAAUUUCCGAGCCAGCCCUGCAGCGGGGGUGACCCUCGGCUGCCGUGAUGUCCCCGAGUGGCCCCGUAGCAGAGCCUGUGUCACGGGUGACCCCGGGCCAGCUGCAGGGGGGGGGUCAGGCCCCCAGUAGCCCCGGGCCAGGCUGCGGCCCCACCCAUGAGGGGGGCUGCGGGGCUGAGGCGUCCUCCUGGUGGGGUGCUGUCCGGCUGGCUUCUGAACCGGCUGUCGGUGGUGGGUCCCGUGUUCGCGAGCUCCUCACCACGUUCCCCCAAAACCAGCGUCCCUGCGUGCGGUGUGGCCCAGCGACACGUGCUGCGGCAACGCCAGCCCCCGGGGGCAGAGCCAGGUCCGGGGGGACCUCAGGUCCCGGGGGGCUCACACCUGGCCUGGACACUCAGCCUGAGGUGGCGUCUGCCGUGGGACGUGAUGCGGGGACGUGUUUGGUAUGGGGGUGACCUGCGGUGCCCACUGCGAUGUCUGUGUCCUCGAGCCCCACUGUCCCCGGCGCCGCAUUCCCUGGGCCUCCCGCACACAGGGCCCUGUGGGUUUUCUCCGUCUGUUCUCUGCUCCUGACCACCAACCUCGUAGCCCAGGGCGGGGGCUGCACAACCUGGGGGGGUCGUGUGGGCGCAGCCACCUGCAGGUACCAUCUGCGGGGGCUCAGCCCUCACGGCCAGUCUGCUCACUCUCCACCUGGACUGGGGCUGGGGCUCCAUGGAGGGGGGUGC